RNAcentral lists this long non-coding RNA (498 nucleotides) under Equus asinus (donkey). Its description in RNAcentral is "lncRNA (ENSEASG00005029082.1, ENSEASG00020031391.1)". Lineage: Eukaryota; Metazoa; Chordata; Mammalia; Perissodactyla; Equidae. The record is from RNAcentral.
GUUCAUUAUCUCGUUAAAGCCUUAAAAUAACACUAAUAGUCACUUGCUUAAAGCCAUCCAGCUAAUAUAUGAAAUAGCCAGGAUUAAAAUCCUGGUCUACCCGACUCUCAAGUCAGGAAUCUUGUCCAGUCAGUUAGUCCACCCUCCCCAUUUCUGUAGUGAGAAUACUUAAACCCUCCAAAAUUAUAUGAUUUGUCCAAGAUCAUACACCUAGAAAGAGGCGGAGCCAGAACAAAAAUCUACAUCCCCUACUCUCAAGGGUCAGCAAUUCAAGCGGGAAAUGCAAUGAGCAUUUAAGCCUGCUCGUCUGCCCUUCCGAGAAAUAAAUAUGGAGAUACCCAGUGAAUGUCCCUGCCUUCUGACAGCACUCAAUCCAGAGAGAACCCUGCUUCCUUGGACCCUCCCACAAAUCAUCCAACCGCAGCCCAAAUCCUACAAUAGGUCCUUUCUAACACCCUCUUGCUGAGGCGCCCCCGUUCCCCAUGGUGUGCAUUCUCC